This 367-nucleotide long non-coding RNA is filed under the name Apteryx rowi (Okarito brown kiwi). RNAcentral's name for it is "lncRNA (ENSARWG00000001959.1)". The record is from RNAcentral. Lineage: Eukaryota; Metazoa; Chordata; Aves; Apterygiformes; Apterygidae.
CUGUAGAUGAAACUUGUUCCUGUUGAAAUGCCUUUGACAGCAUGUGCUGGAAUUACAGGAAGGACAAACCUGUUGUUCAAAGCUCAGCCCAAGGAUUUAUAGAGCCCUGCAAGAGCCCUGGGUUACAGCUGACCUCAUGGCCCUAGGAUCAGGCAAAUGCAUGACUGGUGGCCAUCUGCUUCAGCCUACAGCACCGUAGCGGAGAAGAAGGCUUGGGAGACUUGACAGAAGAAGUACUUGUCUCAGUCUGCCUUCUCCAGGAUCUUCAGCCUUGCUGCAAACUUGUAAUUCCUGCUGGAGGAUCACCUCCGAAGGGUGGACCUGGUGGGCAGGAGAUAGACACGCUGGCUGAAACCAUUUUCAUGAC